UUGUGCGACACCACUGCUUGUGGCCGGCGGGGCAACGACAAACACCAAGCCGAAGUGGUCCGCUCUCGAAGAAAGAUUGAAGAUUAUGCAUCAGCGACAAGUAACGACCGCCCGGAAAGAGAGCCGGAAAAAAGGCAGGAAAUCGCCACCGCUCGCCCCUAUUUGAGCAGCCGCUUGUUCCUUCCGCGUCCUCGCUGCUCCUCAAUUCAAUUGGCUCCGUGCCGACCUCCAGGUUGA
RNAcentral lists this unclassified non-coding RNA (237 nucleotides) under Zea mays. RNAcentral describes it as "misc RNA Zm00001eb235480". Lineage: Eukaryota; Viridiplantae; Streptophyta; Magnoliopsida; Poales; Poaceae. The record is from RNAcentral.